UACGUAGGGUGCGAGCGUUGUCCGGAAUUAUUGGGCGUAAAGAGCUCGUAGGCGGUGUGUCGCGUCGGCCGUGAAAACCUGGGGCUCAACUCUGGGCGUGCGGUCGAUACGGGCAUCACUUGAGUUCGGCAGGGGAGACUGGAAUUCCUGGUGUAGCGGUGAAAUGCGCAGAUAUCAGGAGGAACACCGGUGGCGAAGGCGGGUCUCUGGGCCGAUACUGACGCUGAGGGGCGAAAGCAUGGGUAGCGAACAGG
RNAcentral lists this ribosomal RNA (254 nucleotides) under uncultured bacterium. RNAcentral describes it as "partial 16S ribosomal RNA". It matches the Rfam family "Bacterial small subunit ribosomal RNA", at positions 524 to 776 of the family's 1533-position model. The record is from RNAcentral.